RNAcentral lists this ribosomal RNA (380 nucleotides) under Erebia mnestra (Mnestra's ringlet). RNAcentral's name for it is "partial 16S ribosomal RNA". The record is from RNAcentral. Lineage: Eukaryota; Metazoa; Arthropoda; Insecta; Lepidoptera; Nymphalidae.
AAAGGGCUGCAGUAUUAUGACUGUACAAAGGUAGCAUAAUCAUUAGUUUUUUAAUUGAAAACUUGUAUGAAAGAUUUGAUGAAAUAUUAACUGUCUCUUAUUUUUUAUUAAAACUUUAUUUUUUAGUAAAAAAGCUAAAAUAAUUUUAAAAGACGAGAAGACCCUAUAGAGUUUUAUAUUUAAUUUUAUUUUAAAUUUAUAUAAAAAUUAAUAUUAAAAUAAAAUUAAUUAUUAUAUUGGGGUGAUAGAAAAAUUAAAAUAACUUUUUUUAAAUAAUAAACAUAGAUAAAUGAUUAAAUGAUCCAUUAAUAAUGAUUAUAAGAAAAAAUUACCUUAGGGAUAACAGCGUAAUAUUUUUUUUUAGUUCAAAUAAAAAAGAA